This 506-nucleotide ribosomal RNA is filed under the name uncultured bacterium. Its description in RNAcentral is "partial 16S ribosomal RNA". It matches the Rfam family "Bacterial small subunit ribosomal RNA", at positions 28 to 523 of the family's 1533-position model. The record is from RNAcentral.
GAUGAACGCUAGCUACAGGCUUAACACAUGCAAGUCGAGGGGUAACAAGAGAAGAGCUUGCUUUUCUUGUUGACGACCGGCGCACGGGUGAGUAACGCGUAUCCAACCUGCCUAUAACUAGGGAAUAACCUUGCGAAAGUAAGACUAAUACCCUAUGAUUUCCUUUGAUGGCAUCAGAUUAGGAAUAAAGAUUUAUCGGUUAUAGAUGGGGAUGCGUCUGAUUAGCUUGUUGGCGGGGUAACGGCCCACCAAGGCAACGAUCAGUAGGGGUUUUGAGAGGAAGGUCCCCCACAUUGGAACUGAGACACGGUCCAAACUCCUACGGGAGGCAGCAGUGAGGAAUAUUGGUCAAUGGGCGGAAGCCUGAACCAGCCAAGUAGCGUGCAGGAUGACGGCCCUAUGGGUUGUAAACUGCUUUUAUACAGGAAUAAAGUUAGCCACGUGUGGUUAUUUGUAGGUACUGUAUGAAUAAGGACCGGCUAAUUCCGUGCCAGCAGCCGCGGUAA